This 242-nucleotide ribosomal RNA is filed under the name uncultured bacterium. RNAcentral's name for it is "partial 16S ribosomal RNA". It matches the Rfam family "Bacterial small subunit ribosomal RNA", at positions 535 to 776 of the family's 1533-position model. The record is from RNAcentral.
CAAGCGUUGUUCGGAUUUACUGGGCGUAAAGGGCGCGUAGGCGGUAGCACAAGUCAGUUGUGAAAUCUCCGGGCUUAACUCGGAAAGGUCAACUGAUACUGUGCGACUAGAGUGCAGAAGGGGCAACUGGAAUUCUCGGUGUAGCGGUGAAAUGCGUAGAUAUCGAGAGGAACACCUGCGGCGAAGGCGGGUUGCUGGGCUGACACUGACGCUGAGGCGCGAAAGCCAGGGGAGCGAACGGG